GAUGAACGCUGGCGGCGUGCCUAAUACAUGCAAGUCGAGCGAACAGACGUGGAGCUUGCUCCUCUGACGUUAGCGGCGGACGGGUGAGUAACACGUGGAUAACCUACCUAUAAGACUGGGAUAACUUCGGGAAACCGGAGCUAAUACCGGAUAAUAUAUUGAACCGCAUGGUUCAAUAGUGAAAGACGGUUUUGCUGUCACUUAUAGAUGGAUCCGCGCCGCAUUAGCUAGUUGGUAAGGUAACGGCUUACCAAGGCAACGAUGCGUAGCCGACCUGAGAGGGUGAUCGGCCACACUGGAACUGAGACACGGUCCAGACCCCUACGGGAGGCAGCAGUAGGGAAUCUUCCGCAAUGGGCGAAAGCUUGACGGAGCAACGCCGCGUGAGUGAUGAAGGUCUUCGGAUCGUAAAACUCUGUUAUUAGGGAAGAACAAAUGUGUAAGUAACUAUGCACGUCUUGACGGUACCUAAUCAGAAAGCCACGGCUAACUACGUG
RNAcentral lists this ribosomal RNA (497 nucleotides) under uncultured bacterium. RNAcentral's name for it is "partial 16S ribosomal RNA". It matches the Rfam family "Bacterial small subunit ribosomal RNA", at positions 28 to 507 of the family's 1533-position model. The record is from RNAcentral.